Long non-coding RNA from Etheostoma spectabile (orangethroat darter), 938 nucleotides. RefSeq lists it as uncharacterized. The transcript is spliced from 3 exons. The record is from RefSeq and is a predicted model, not a curated record. Lineage: Eukaryota; Metazoa; Chordata; Actinopteri; Perciformes; Percidae.
GCUUCAGGGUGCUUGUCGGACUUUUGGCAUGAGCACACUAACCUGUUUGGGGGUUGUUGGGCCCCUACAGAUCACCUUUCACAACACACAUCUCUUUUACCUCCAGGUUUCCAUAAGGUACAGUGCACACAGAAGACUUAUGCAGGACCUUCCAGUUGGAAAUGUACUUCAGUGGGGUAUAAUCCCUAACAAAGUUUCAAUAAUCAAACGAAAGCUGACACACAGUAACUCUUUGGGUUUUCGAGGCCUCAGCUCGGAUGGUUUUAAUGUAAUGUGAGUGUGUCCCUCACCUUUACCAAAAGUUCUCCAAGUGUGCAAGAUGACAUUGUCCAUGUUGUCUAAAAAGCCAAAAAAAACUAUAUAUCUUACAUAAGUGUGUUUGCACCAAGUCAAAACCACAACUAGACAAACAUUUCUGGAGUGGUAUUUUAGACCUUGUUGCCACUUUAAAUCUAUAGUAUUCAAAAAGACCACUAGGGACUACUUUCCCUCUCCUCAUGUGAAGUGAAAAUGAACAAAUCUCGUGCAGGUGAUAAAUAUGUGGUGGUUUAUCAAAAAAGGUCCAAAAAUAAAACUGGCUUUUUCAUAGUAAGUUAAAGAUUUUACACCUUGGAAAGUUUUGUAUUCAAAUUGAGGGUCUAGGAUAGAAGGUUGUAUCAUUACAAAGAGCUGCGACAAAGUUGUAAUAAGAACUGUAUGAAAAUAAGGAUUGUUAAUGUGGGGGUCCCAAAAAGGGGGAGGAUGUUUAUAUAGGUCAUUUAUUUUGCUUUUGACAGCAAAUCUCUUGCCAAAAUUAAAAUUAAAAUAUCAUGCAAGAUUUAUAUUCUUAAACAACAGAUGAUCAAAACUACAAAUGCAUAAUGGUCAAAGCAAAUUCUUGCCAAAGCUACAUGACACUAAUUGUGUGUGUGUGUGUGUGUGUGUGUGUGUGUGUGUGU